AGAGUCUGAAAGGUGAGGAUUGAGCUCAGUGUCCAGCAGGAUGUUUGCUGACUUGAUAUUUUUAUGAAUAAUAGAUGGUGAACAUACUUCAUGCAUGUACUCUAAUGCACGAGCAGUCCCCAAAGCUAUCUUGACACGGGAAUUCCAUAUCAAAGGCUUGCUGUAUUCAUCUGAAAGACGCAGGAAGUCAUUUAGUGACCCAUUUUUAUGGAACUCAUAGACUAGCAGGUGCUGCCCAUGCUCUGAACAAUA
This 252-nucleotide unclassified non-coding RNA is filed under the name Hevea brasiliensis (rubber tree). The record is from RNAcentral. Lineage: Eukaryota; Viridiplantae; Streptophyta; Magnoliopsida; Malpighiales; Euphorbiaceae.